RNAcentral lists this ribosomal RNA (342 nucleotides) under uncultured bacterium. Its description in RNAcentral is "bacterial SSU rRNA". It matches the Rfam family "Bacterial small subunit ribosomal RNA", at positions 1 to 334 of the family's 1533-position model. The record is from RNAcentral.
GACGCACUCUCAGAGUUUGAUCCUGGCUCAGGAUGAACGCUAGCGAUAGGCUUAACACAUGCAAGUCGAGGGGCAGCGAGGUGUAGCAAUACACCGUCGGCGACCGGCGAAUGGGUGCGUAACGCGUAUGCAACUUACCUUUUAGUGGGGGAUAACCCGGUGAAAGCCGGACUAAUACCGCAUAUGCUCCGAAUAUCACAUGAUUUAAGGAGGAAAGAUUUAUUGCUAAGAGAUAGGCAUGCGUUCCAUUAGUUUGUUGGUAAGGUAACGGCUUACCAAGACUACGAUGGAUAGGGGGACUGAGAGGUUGACCCCCCACACUGGUACUGAGAUACGGACCAG